CGAAAGGCCUGCUAAUACCGGAUAAGCUCACGGCCUCGCAUGGGGCUGGGAGAAAAGGCGCUAGAGCGAUUGGCGCUGGCAGAGGAGGGGUCCGCGGCCCAUUAGCUAGUUGGUGAGGUAACGGCUCACCAAGGCGACGAUGGGUAGCCGGCCUGAGAGGGCGACCGGCCACACUGGGACUGAGACACGGCCCAGACUCCUACGGGAGGCAGCAGUCGGGAAUUUUGCACAAUGGCCGAAAGGCUGAUGCAGCAACGCCGCGUGAGCGAGGAAGGCCUUCGGGUUGUAAAGCUCUGUUGCCUGCGAAGAAGGGCCCUGUCAGGAAAUGGGCAGGGUUUGACGGUAGCAGGCGAGGAAGCCCCGGCUAACUACGUGCCAGCAGCCGCGGUAAUACGUAGGGGGCGAGCGUUGUCCGGAAUUACUGGGCGUAAAGGGCGUGUAGGCGGCCUGUUAAGUCAGGGGGUGAAACUCCGGGGGCUCAACCCCGGGCGUGCCUCUGAAACUGAUGGGCUUGAGUGCUCUAGAGGGCAGUGGAAUUCCCGGUGUAGCAGUGAAAUGCGUAGAGAUCGGGAGGAACACCAGUGGCGAAGGCGGCUGCCUGGGGAGUUACUGACGCUGAGGCGCGAAAGCUAGGGGAGCCAAACAGGAUUAGAUACCCCUGGGUAGUCCUAGCCCGUAAACGAUGAGUUGCUAUGUGUGAGGGGUAUCGACCCCCCUCGUGCAGUAGUUAACGCGAUAAGCACUCCGCCUGGGGAGUACGGCCGCAAGGCUGAAACUCAAAGGAAUUGACGGGGGCCCGCACAAGCAGCGGAGCAUGUGGUUUAAUUCGAAGCAACGCGUAGAACCUUACCAGGGCUUGACAUCCGCCGAAUCCUGCAGAAAUGCGGGAGUGCUCCUUCGGGAGAACGGCGAGACAGGUGGUGCAUGGUUGUCGUCAGCUCGUGUCGUGAGAUGUUGGGUUAAGUCCCGCAACGAGCGCAACCCCUGUCGCAUGUUGCCAGCACGUAAAGGUGGGGACUCAUGCGAGACUGCCGGUGACAAACCGGAGGAAGGUGGGGAUGACGUCAAAUCGUCAUGCCCCUUAUGUCCUGGGCUACACACGUGCUACAAUGGCCGUCACAGAGCGCCCCGAACCCGUGAGGGGGAGGCAAUC
RNAcentral lists this ribosomal RNA (1153 nucleotides) under uncultured Symbiobacterium sp. Its description in RNAcentral is "bacterial SSU rRNA". It matches the Rfam family "Bacterial small subunit ribosomal RNA", at positions 152 to 1273 of the family's 1533-position model. Lineage: Bacteria; Bacillati; Bacillota; Clostridia; Eubacteriales; Symbiobacteriaceae. The record is from RNAcentral.